RNAcentral lists this ribosomal RNA (440 nucleotides) under uncultured bacterium. Its description in RNAcentral is "partial 16S ribosomal RNA". It matches the Rfam family "Bacterial small subunit ribosomal RNA", at positions 338 to 795 of the family's 1533-position model. The record is from RNAcentral.
CCUACGGGAGGCAGCAGUGGGGAAUAUUGGACAAUGGGGGCAACCCUGAUCCAGCGACGCCGCGUGAGUGAAGAAGUAUUUCGGUAUGUAAAGCUCUAUCAGCAGGGAAGAAAAUGUCGGUACCUGUCUAAUAAGCCCCGGCUAAUUCCGUGACAGCAGCCGCGGGAAUACGUAGGGGGCAAGCGUGAUCCGGAUUUACUGGGUGUAAAGGGAGCGUAGACGGUGCAGCAAGUCUGAUGUGAAAGGUCGGGGCCCAACCGCGGGACUGCAUUGGAUACUGGUCAACUGGAGUACAGGAGAGGUAGGCGGAAUUCCUAGUGUAGCGGUGAAAUGCGUAGAUAUUAGGAGGAACACCAGUGGCGAAGGCGGCUUACUGGACUGAAACUGACGUUGAGGCUCGAAAGCGUGGGGAGCAAACAGGAUUAGAUACCCCUGUAGUC